UACGUAGGGGCCUAGCGUUGUCCGGAUUGACUGGGCGUAAAGCGCACGCAGGCGGACGCGCGCGUGGGGUGUGAAAUCUGGCCGCUUAACGGCCAGGCGCCAUCCCAUACGGCGCGACUGGAGUGAUGCAGAGGUCGAUGGAAUUGCCGGUGUAGUGGUGAAAUGCGUAGAGAUCGGCAGGAACACCCAGGGGGAAACCAGUCGACUGGGCAUCUACUGACGCUGAGGUGCGAGAGCGUGGGGAGCGAACCGG
RNAcentral lists this ribosomal RNA (253 nucleotides) under uncultured bacterium. Its description in RNAcentral is "partial 16S ribosomal RNA". It matches the Rfam family "Bacterial small subunit ribosomal RNA", at positions 524 to 776 of the family's 1533-position model. The record is from RNAcentral.